Molecule: ribosomal RNA, 546 nt
Filed under: uncultured archaeon
Lineage: Archaea
Description: bacterial SSU rRNA
Rfam family: Archaeal small subunit ribosomal RNA
Source: RNAcentral
CGGUUGAUCCUGCCGGAGGUCACUGCUAUCUUGGGUUCGAUUAAGCCAUGCGAGUCGAGAGGGUUCGGCCCUCGGCGUACUGCUCAGUAACACGUGGAUAACCUGCCCUAGGGAAGGGGAUAACCCCGGGAAACUGGGGAUAAUACCCUAUAGGUUACAGAUGCUGGAAUGCUCUGUAAUCAAAAGUUCCGGCGCCCUAGGAUGGAUCUGCGGCCGAUUAGGUUGUUGUUGGGGUAAUGGCCCAACAAGCCAGUAAUCGGUACGGGUUGUGGGAGCAAGAGCCCGGAGUUGGAUUCUGAGACACGAAUCCAGGCCCUACGGGGCGCAGCAGGCGCGAAAACUUUACAAUGCGGGCAACCGUGAUAAGGGAACCUCGAGUGCCUGUAAAUGCAGGCUGUUCAGAUGCCUAAAACACAUCUGGAGAAAGGGCCGGGCAAGACCGGUGCCAGCCGCCGCGGUAAUACCGGCGGCUCGAGUGGUGGCCACUUUUAUUGGGCUUAAAGCGUUCGUAGCUGGGUUGUUAAGUCUCUUGGGAAAUCUGGCAGC